Molecule: long non-coding RNA, 1116 nt
Organism: Lutra lutra (Eurasian river otter)
Lineage: Eukaryota; Metazoa; Chordata; Mammalia; Carnivora; Mustelidae
Exons: 3
Source: RefSeq, a predicted model, not a curated record
GCAGGUGCCUGGAAGUGCAACCGUCUGGGCUGCAACGGAAGGACCUGAGACAAGCUCAGACGCACGGAGCCGGGGUGGCGGCUCUGAGGCUCCGGGAGGCAAACCAGGGCCACCGGGUAAGGCGAGGGUGCUCUGGCUGGACAGGAGCCAGGCCGGCCCGCCCCCCGCAGGGGCCGCCGCCCGAGAGCCCGGAGCCCCCCCACGCAGACGUCCGGCCUUCUGCAGAACCGGACCGGCUGGCGGAGGCCUGCCCGGGCCCCUGCACGGCCCAGACCCCCCGGUCUGUGGCUUAACGGCUGCCAGGGGCAGAGAGCAGUGACUGUGUGGAGCCUCGGGAGAGACGGCCGUCCUGCCCGGCUCGCUCACCGGGCAGGGGCUGCAGCGCGCCGCGUCCAGCGCCACCGCUUUGAUGGCCCCGGUCUGGAGAGUUCCACCAGCGCAUCCUGAUGCACCGACAGACCUGAGUUAACGGGACGAGGCCUCUGCAUCACUACGGUCGGGCAGGACCCGGGAGGGACGCUGUGGUCACCGUCACUGCUACUGCAGGCCCGUCUCGAUCAUGCCAGCGGCUGACCAGGAGCUUCAUUCUGCUGGUUCCUCACCAGACGUGCGGAGCCGGCCCGGGGCCAGGCGGAGCACUGAGCCCCGCGCACAGCUCGCCCCGCGCACAGCUCGCCCGCUGAACCCUCCAAGAAGCUGGCAAAGCCUGUGCGUCUCACACGGGAGGAACUGAGGCCUGACGCCAGGCCACACAGCUCCUAACCGAUCAACCCAGGUUCGUCUGUCCUCAGGCCCGGGCCGGUCUCACACUACACAGCGCCUCCCCAGGUCAGGGACCCAGCCCCAGGCUGCUGCAAACACACUUUAAAAACGAAGCCACCACAAUCCACAACUGUCAUUUCAAAUUCAGAAGGGCAGAAGCUGAGAAGAAAACCUUUCCUAGAGGCAGAGACCAGCAAGGAGCCUGAUGAGUGGCCUCCUGAUGGCUGACCGUCGGGGCAGGCCCGAGGGUCAGGACACAGAGCGUCCCUGGUGUGCAGGGGCUGCGGCUGGAGAAGCCGCGUCCCACACCCUUUUCUGGGCUGUUUUCCCAGCAUCUUGAGCACACUCACCAGC